CCCUUAGAUGUUCUGGGCCGCACGCGCGCUACACUGAUGCAUUCAACGAGUUUCUUCCUGGUCCGAGAGGAAUGGGUAACCUUUUGAAAGUGCAUCGUGAUAGGGAUAGACUAUUGCAAUUAUUGGUCUUCAACGAGGAAUUCCUAGUAGACGUAGUUCAUCAGACUGCAUCGAUUACGUCCCUGCCCUUUGUACACACCGCCCGUCGCUACUGCCAACUGAGAUGGGUCCUGAAUUGUUAGGAACGCCCGUCAAGGGGCCUACCCGGUCCCUAGUGCGGUGACGAGAAUAACUGUAAAUGGCAUAUCUUGGAGGGAGUAAAAGUCGUAACA
This 332-nucleotide ribosomal RNA is filed under the name uncultured eukaryote. RNAcentral describes it as "partial 18S ribosomal RNA". It matches the Rfam family "Eukaryotic small subunit ribosomal RNA", at positions 1470 to 1796 of the family's 1831-position model. The record is from RNAcentral.